CCAAUCCUUCCAUCGGCUCCUACAUCAAUUGAGCUGAAAGGUCUUCAUUGUACUCGCCAAGUUCACAGACUUGAGCUUUCAAUUUCAAGAUCUGGGCAUCUCUCAAUUCCAACUGGCACUAAAAGUGACUCCUCUCUUCUGGAACUUCGAGAACUGGCAACGUUGAUACUUGUGCUUGACCAAUAUUGAUUAAAUCCUCUGCCAAUCUUUUCACCUCGGUGUUCAAGGCCUCAAUUUCAGCCCUUAACCACUCCGUUUCACAUCUAUAUUGGUCACUCAAUACCAAUUUCUCUUGUGCCAAUAACUCGGUCUUUUCUCGUUCCAUUACCAACUGACCCUUCGCUUUUUCCAGUUCUAAGAUUGAAUGACCGCGAGUCCGGAAUAGUUCUUGUCUAUGAGUCUCCACCAUGCGUUCUCUUUCUUGUGAGUGACUCUUCACUGUUAACUCUUAACUGGAACUACUAC
RNAcentral lists this long non-coding RNA (465 nucleotides) under Physcomitrium patens. RNAcentral describes it as "long non-coding RNA (PPAT_LNC008117)". Lineage: Eukaryota; Viridiplantae; Streptophyta; Bryopsida; Funariales; Funariaceae. The record is from RNAcentral.